AGUCAAAUUGAAAUACUAGUCUUCAAAAUUGGAACAAUACAGAGAAGAUUAGCAUAGCCCUUGUGCAAGGAUGACAUACACAGAUUGAGAAACGGUCCAAUUUCUU
This 106-nucleotide small nuclear RNA is filed under the name Nelumbo nucifera (sacred lotus). Lineage: Eukaryota; Viridiplantae; Streptophyta; Magnoliopsida; Proteales; Nelumbonaceae. The record is from RNAcentral.